This 716-nucleotide ribosomal RNA is filed under the name Archangium sp. 42-mcx-1. RNAcentral describes it as "bacterial SSU rRNA". It matches the Rfam family "Bacterial small subunit ribosomal RNA", at positions 67 to 767 of the family's 1533-position model. The record is from RNAcentral. Lineage: Bacteria; Pseudomonadati; Myxococcota; Myxococcia; Myxococcales; Archangiaceae.
CGAAUGGAGCAAUCCUAGUAGAGCGGCGCACGGGUGCGUAACACGUGGAUAAUCUGCCUGGGUGUCUGGGAUAACCAGUCGAAAGAUUGGCUAAUACCGGAUAAGCCCCCGGGAGCUUCGGCUCCUGAGGGAAAAGGUGGCCUCUGUAUACAAGCUAUCACAUCCAGAUGAGUCCGCGGCCCAUCAGCUAGUUGGCGGGGUAAUGGCCCACCAAGGCAACGACGGGUAGCUGGUCUGAGAGGACGAUCAGCCACACUGGAACUGAGACACGGUCCAGACUCCUACGGGAGGCAGCAGUGGGGAAUUUUGCGCAAUGGGCGAAAGCCUGACGCAGCAACGCCGCGUGUGUGAUGAAGGUCUUCGGAUUGUAAAGCACUUUCGACCGGGACGAAAACCCGUUGGCUAACAUCCAACGGCUUGACGGUACCGGGAGAAGAAGCACCGGCUAACUCUGUGCCAGCAGCCGCGGUAAUACAGAGGGUGCAAGCGUUGUUCGGAAUUAUUGGGCGUAAAGCGCGUGUAGGCGGCUUUGCAAGUCGGGUGUGAAAGCCCUCAGCUCAACUGAGGAAGUGCGCCCGAAACUGCAGAGCUUGAGUGCCGGAGAGGGUGGCGGAAUUCCCCAAAUAUAGGUGAAAUUCGUAGAUAUGGGGAGGAACACCGGUGGCAAAUGCGGCCACCUGGACGGUAACUGACGCUGAGACGCGAAAGCUUGGGGA